This is a non-coding RNA of Podarcis lilfordi (Lilford's wall lizard), 73 nucleotides long. Lineage: Eukaryota; Metazoa; Chordata; Lepidosauria; Squamata; Lacertidae. The record is from the annotation of a GenBank genome assembly.
GGAUCAGAUAGCUCAGUGGUAGAGAAUCUGCCUUGCAUGCAGGAGGUCCCAGGUUCAAUCCCCCACAUCUCCA